AUUGAACGCUGGCGGCAUGCUUUACACAUGCAAGUCGAACGGUAACAGGCCGCAAGGUGCUGACGAGUGGCGCACGGGUGGGUAAUGCAUCGGAACGUGCCCAGUCGUGGGGGAUAACUACUCGAAAGAGUAGCUAAUACCGCAUACGAUCUAUGGAUGAAAGCGGGGGACCGUAAGGCCUCGCGCGAUUGGAGCGGCCGAUGUCAGAUUAGGUAGUUGGUGGGGUAAAGGCUCACCAAGCCAACGAUCUGUAGCUGGUCUGAGAGGACGACCAGCCACACUGGGACUGAGACACGGCCCAGACUCCUACGGGAGGCAGCAGUGGGGAAUUUUGGACAAUGGGCGCAAGCCUGAUCCAGCAAUGCCGCGUGCAGGAAGAAGGCCUUCGGGUUGUAAACUGCUUUUGUACGGAACGAAACGGCUCUGGUUAAUACCCGGGGCUAAUGACGGUACCGUAAGAAUAAGCACCGGCUAACUACGUG
This 482-nucleotide ribosomal RNA is filed under the name uncultured bacterium. RNAcentral describes it as "partial 16S ribosomal RNA". It matches the Rfam family "Bacterial small subunit ribosomal RNA", at positions 30 to 507 of the family's 1533-position model. The record is from RNAcentral.